Long non-coding RNA from Cygnus olor (mute swan), 144 nucleotides. RefSeq lists it as uncharacterized. The transcript has 2 exons. The record is from RefSeq and is a predicted model, not a curated record. NCBI's taxonomy places the organism in Eukaryota, Metazoa, Chordata, Aves, Anseriformes, Anatidae.
GUACUUACCAAUCCCAAGAGGGAACAGCAAAACUGAUGCAGUGGAUGUGGUCAGGACAGACAGAUGACAGUGGCACAGCAACAAUCUGGAACAACAAAGCAAAACACAAAAGUCUCAUCCAGACAACGUUAGAAGGACAAGAGA